GUACUACUGAAGAGUUCCAAACUAGGACGAAACGGUUGUCCAGAAC
This 46-nucleotide non-coding RNA is filed under the name Trichobilharzia regenti. The record is from RNAcentral. Lineage: Eukaryota; Metazoa; Platyhelminthes; Trematoda; Strigeidida; Schistosomatidae.